RNAcentral lists this unclassified non-coding RNA (705 nucleotides) under Hevea brasiliensis (rubber tree). Lineage: Eukaryota; Viridiplantae; Streptophyta; Magnoliopsida; Malpighiales; Euphorbiaceae. The record is from RNAcentral.
GUGGAGAACGAUGCCAUUUCUCCUAGUAUGAAACUUCUCAAGAACGAUCGAUCAAGGACAGAAAGGGUUUUCUCAAGAUCUCUGGUUGAAUAUUUUUCAGUUUCUCAUAGAUUUAUCAUUGUUCCUCAAGGACAGAAAGGGUUUUGUUUGAAUCUGGGAUUAUUAGGAAAUAAGGCAACAAAAGUUUUCUUUGCGUCGGUUUCGUUUUUGCGUGUGAAAUACCUGCUCCAACAAUUUUAGCGUCGGUUUAGUUUAUGCGCCACAUCGAUUUGGCGGUGGAGGAUCCAAGUAAUAGUGCCUAAGAUUUGAACUUGGAAUCUUAAGCGUGCUUGUGCUCGGCUAUCCUUAAGCUAGGGUUGACACAAAUACGAGGGUGCAUGCUGUUUAUUCGAUCACUUGUGUGCAAAUGGAGUAUUCUCAUUGGACUCGUGAUAUGUAAGAAGAUGUAAUUCCACUUUGUAGCCCCCUAGGCCAGGGGUUCUGUUGUGGGAAGGAAAUCACAGAAAGCUUGCCUGCGGAAAGUCAGAUGGAUCUUGCUGCUUUAGAGUAUUUUUCAUAUGUAGAUCUUCCACCACACUAUAUGGAUUCUUUCAAGUCGUAUGACCCAGUAGGAGGUGAGCAUUUCAACGCUUUUGCGGCUGGUCUAAUACAACAGACCGUGUAGUUACAGUUAGUCAUGGAUAUCCAUGGGAAUCUAAGACUUCG